RNAcentral lists this ribosomal RNA (440 nucleotides) under uncultured bacterium. RNAcentral describes it as "partial 16S ribosomal RNA". It matches the Rfam family "Bacterial small subunit ribosomal RNA", at positions 338 to 795 of the family's 1533-position model. The record is from RNAcentral.
CCUACGGGUGGCAGCAGUAGGGAAUAUUGCUCAAUGGGGGAAACCCUGAAGCAGCAACGCCGCGUGGAGGAUGAAGGUUUUCGGAUUGUAAACUCCUUUUGUUAGAGAAGAUAAUGACGGUAUCUAACGAAUAAGCACCGGCUAACUCCGUGCCAGCAGCCGCGGUAAUACGGAGGGUGCAAGCGUUACUCGGAAUCACUGGGCGUAAGGAGCGCGUAGGCGGGAUAGCAAGUCAGAUGUGAAAUCCUAUGGCUUAACCAUAGAACUGCAUUUGAAACUGUUAUUCUAGAGUAUGGGAGAGGUAGGUGGAAUUCUUGGUGUAGGGGUAAAAUCCGUAGAGAUCAAGAGGAAUACUCAUUGCGAAGGCGACCUGCUAGAACAUAACUGACGCUGAUGCGCGAAAGCGUGGGGAGCGAACAGGAUUAGAUACCCUUGUAGUC